GCUGACAGAUCUAGAGAUAGGUCGUCUCUUCGGAGCAGCGGUGACAGGUGGUGCAUGGUUGUCGUCAGCUCGUGUCGUGAGAUGUUGGGUUAAGUCCCGCAACGAGCGCAACCCUUGAACUGUGUUGCCAGCAUUCAGUUGGGCACUCACAGUUGACUGCCGGUGACAAACCGGAGGAAGGCGGGGAUGACGUCAAAUCAUCAUGCCCCUUAUGUCUUGGGCUACACACGUGCUACAAUGGGCGGUACAACGGGAAGCGAAGGAGCGAUCUGGAGCCAAACCCUGAAAGCCGUUCGUAGUUCGGAUUGCAGGCUGCAACUCGCCUGCAUGAAGCCGGAAUUGCUAGUAAUCGCGGAUCAGCAUGCCGCGGUGAAUACGUUCCCGGGCCUUGUACACACCGCCCGUCACACCACGAGAGUUGGUAACACCCGAAGUCGGUGAGGUAACCUUUUGGAGCCAGCCGCCGAAGGUGGGAUCGAUGAUUGGGGUGAAGUCGUAACAAGGUAAGCGUAGCGAG
RNAcentral lists this ribosomal RNA (517 nucleotides) under uncultured bacterium. Its description in RNAcentral is "bacterial SSU rRNA". It matches the Rfam family "Bacterial small subunit ribosomal RNA", at positions 991 to 1509 of the family's 1533-position model. The record is from RNAcentral.